AGAAAUGUUUAUAAAACAUUUUUGAUUAAUAUCUGCGUUAAGCAUAGGUUUGAUGUAUAAUAAAAUAUCUUUUUGAUGUAACAUCUAAAUAAUUUUCUUGUCCUAAUUAAAAAUAUAAGCUGGUAAUAUCUAAUGAAUAUUUAAAUAACGUCUUAACAAAAUAUUUUUUCGAUUUUAUUUAGAAAAUAUUAGUUGAAGACCCUUUUAUAAACAUUCUAACAUAAUAUGUCUUCUAGAUAUUUGUAAGAUGUAUGACAGAAAUGUUUGUCAAAUGUUUGUUAGUAAUAUUUGAGUGAAGCAAGUGUUAAAUAUUUUUUAGAUAUCACAUUAACAUGAAUGACUCCUCAUUUUUAUAGAAGAGCUUUAAUAAUUUCAAAGAGGUUAUAUGAGAUAAUCUCCUUGAUAAUUUUAACCUUUGAGGAACAUUUCAAUCGUGUAUUAUUAUAACUUUUUUCGUUCAACUUUAAUUGAUGCAACAUAAUAAACAAAUAUAUACAGAGUGAUAUUUGAUACAACCAUUCUGUUAAUCAAACACAUUCUGAUAAGGUUAACCAGAUGUUGGACACAUUUCAAAGAUAGUUGCUAUGGUAAUUAAGAUUAUAGAAAAUCUAAAUGUAAUGGGAUGGUCAUUUUUGAGGUUAUUUCCGGUCGUCUAUUUGUAACUUCCGAAAGCAGUGAAAACAAAGAAAACUAAAAGAGAAAAUCACAGUUCAAAGAGAAAGAAACAUAUCUGGUAUUUGAGAACUACAGAAGACAAAUUAAAGCAGAGUGCAAAAUGAAUUUUAAUAAUCAUUGAAAAUAUUCUGGCUUCAAAAUGCAUGGAAAUGGAGAUGGGACAAAAUGCAUUCUACCAUUUGAUAGCCCAGAAUGAAUUACUUUAAAAGGCUAACAAGAAGAGAAGGCUCGCAGUAGAAGAUACAGACUCUGAAUAAUUAAUAAAAUGUUAAAAUGCUA
Molecule: long non-coding RNA, 954 nt
Organism: Mytilus californianus (California mussel)
Lineage: Eukaryota; Metazoa; Mollusca; Bivalvia; Mytilida; Mytilidae
Exons: 3
Source: RefSeq, a predicted model, not a curated record